RNAcentral lists this ribosomal RNA (274 nucleotides) under uncultured bacterium. Its description in RNAcentral is "partial 16S ribosomal RNA". It matches the Rfam family "Bacterial small subunit ribosomal RNA", at positions 523 to 796 of the family's 1533-position model. The record is from RNAcentral.
AUACAGAGGGUGCGAGCGUUAAUGGGAAUUACUGGGCGUAAAGCGCGCGUAGGCGGCUUGGUCAGUCGGAUGGGAAAGCCCCGGGCUCAACCUGGGAAUGGCAUUCGAUACUGCCAGGCUAGAGUAUGGGAGAGGGAAGUGGAAUUUCCGGUGUAGCGGUGAAAUGCGUAGAUAUCGGAAAGAACACCAGUGGCGAAGGCGACUUCCUGGCCCAAUACUGACGCUGAGGUGCGAAAGCGUGGGGAGCGAACAGGAUUAGAAACCCUAGUAGUCC